Podarcis raffonei (Aeolian wall lizard) is the source of this 2014-nucleotide long non-coding RNA. RefSeq lists it as uncharacterized. The record is from RefSeq and is a predicted model, not a curated record. The transcript has 2 exons. Lineage: Eukaryota; Metazoa; Chordata; Lepidosauria; Squamata; Lacertidae.
GGGAGCCAGUCGAGGGAAGUGUGUGCUUUUCAGUUCCUCACGGUCCUGUUGGUGGUAGCUGGGAAUGCCUUCUGAAAGCACUAUCUGUCUUGUUGUGGUCUGUCGUGAAUGAGCAGCCAACUGUUUUGUGCUUCCCACUUUGCUCCUCUCCUGCCAUGAGCUGGAUAAAUAAACCAGGAAUCUUUGGUUUCCCAUUACAUCUGAACGAAAGAUGGUGGUUGGCUGCUCAUUUACAAACCACAGUCAGCAAACUGCCCCUUAAGCUGUGGUUUGUGGUUGGCUUGCUGGCUGUGGCUUCUUAGGGAGUAGCAAAAGCCAGGAUCCCUGCUUUGAAUGUUUCCCGCCUUCCUUUCACACGGGGGGGGGCAUGUUUAGGGUUGGGGGGAGCAAAGUGAGAAUGAUCAGGCAGCAUGCACAAUAAACACUGAUAAACCAGAGAGUCUGGCUUAGCGUUGUGUGUGAAUGUGAACAAUGAGUAAAGAGCUGUCUUUUUGCUCCGAUGAGCAGUGAGAAUUGCUGAUUCUGAGGCCCUGCACUGCACAAUGGUCCAGCAAUGCCUCUGAGCCACUUCCUGUUGCUGUCGAGAUGUGCUGGGCAGCAUUGACUAGGGAUAUUGUAAACCUGUUCCAAGCCAAGCUAAAUAAUGUUUUCAGGUUUCCGAUGAACCCCACUGUUAGAUUGUAAACAGUACAGAGAGCUUCCUUUUCUGAGGGUAGUCAGGAGAGACAGACAGGAGGAUCUUUGGAGUCACUGCUGCUUCUAAAAGGGAUAAAACUCCCUCUCGAGGCUGAGGACUUCAGCCGAGGAAGAGGGAGCAGGCCAGGAAGUAAGCUGUCUUGCAGCAAGAGUUACUCCUCCUAUCCCAGCUUCUUGCAUGGCAUUACCCGAGCUUGGUGCUUUCAGCUUCUUUACAGUGCUGCCUUGUUGCAAUCAUGUCAAGCAGCAUUGUACAGGGCUAUGAAAGAGCCAGGCCCUCUCAUCUUUUGCCUUGGGGCAUCCGUGGCGCAGCAAGGAAGGCUAGCAUCCCUGCCGCUGUAACCCAUCGCCUGAUAUAACAGCAGCUCCAAAGAGAAGCCUUUGGGGGACACUCAGAGGAGGUGUGAAGGAUAAUUGGAAAACCAGAGGCAAAGGUGACACUGUGGUAGGAAAGGGAUAGAGGAGGAAAGUGGUAACAGCCAGGACUUCAGCUUUACCUGAUCUCAAUUGCCUGCCUUCACCCCAGGUCUUAAGGUGAGUCGCUGAUGCAGAAGUUAUUUCUGCAAGGUAGCUUGCACAAUAGAUAUUGUGCUGACUUAUUUCUCCUCUAGGAUGUGAACUUCACAGCACCCUACCCACCGUUGACCACUCCAGUCCCCCUCUCUUACUGGGCACAGCUUCUCCUGUCCCUAGAUCCCAGUUCUCUCUCCACUGAUCCCUACUUGCCAAAGCAAACAUGCCACCACCUUCACAGCAGGCGCCCUGACAGUUAAUAUUCUGUGACUGACACUUGCCCAUCAGCAGUAGCUCAGCCAGGGAAUAAGACAGGACCUUGAAGGCCACCAAUCUUAAAACGUUUUCUGUCCACAGGAUGAAAACCAGCAGAAACCCCCAGGAAUCAUCUGUUCAGUUAUUUUGCUCAAACGUCUCUUCUGUGAUGCCUGACCCCCACUUCAUUAUCUCGUUCUCUAUCCUAGCUUGUCCCAUUUUGCUGCAACUAAUUUCCACACCGCAAUCUGUUCUCUCCCAUCUGGACCAGGCUUGCACCCUCUAAUAAUUGCUUAGCUCCUGAGCUUGGUGCUAACUUGGAAAUGCAAAGCAGUGCAAAGUGGGGCUCGGGGGAUAUGAUGCUCUUAACUAACUUAAACUACUGGGAAAUGUUGGUCGUUGAGUGAGACACAAAGGCAAGAACUAAAUCGGCCUUCGGCAGCCUGGUGCUCUCCAUAGAAUGGACUACAGCUCCAGCCAGCUGGGACUGAUGGGAGUUGUAGCCCAACGACAUUGGGGGCUGCACUAGGUUGGCAAAGGCUAAACUAAA